Molecule: transfer RNA, 94 nt
Filed under: Streptomyces sp. Go-475
Lineage: Bacteria; Bacillati; Actinomycetota; Actinomycetes; Kitasatosporales; Streptomycetaceae
Description: tRNA-Ala
Source: RNAcentral
UGGCCGCGGUGGUGCAGGAGCGGCAGGCGCGGGAGGCCCGGCGGGCCUUCGGGAGCGGUACGGGCACGCCGGCUCCGGCCCCGGCUACGGACGG